RNAcentral lists this ribosomal RNA (1243 nucleotides) under metagenome. Its description in RNAcentral is "bacterial LSU rRNA". It matches the Rfam family "Bacterial large subunit ribosomal RNA", at positions 1564 to 2817 of the family's 2925-position model. The record is from RNAcentral.
UGAAUACGAGACGCUAAGGCGUCGAAGUAGUGUAUGUCAUACUUCCAAGAAAAGCUUGCACUGUCAUAAAUAGAAAAUGCCUGUACCAUAACCGACACAGGUGGGUAGGUAGAGUAUACUAAGGGGCGCGAGAUAACUCUCUCUAAGGAACUCGGCAAAAUGACUCCGUAACUUCGGGAGAAGGAGUGCCUUAUUUUUAAGGUUGCAAUAACAAGAUCCAAGCAACUGUUUAUCAAAAACACAGGUCUCCGCUAAGUCGUAAGACGAUUAUGGGGGCUGACGCCUGCCCAGUGCCAGAAGGUUAAAGAAGUUGGUUAGCAUUAGCGAAGCUGAUAACUGAAGCCCUGGUGAACGGCGGCCGUAACAAUAACGGUCCUAAGGUAGCGAAAUUCCUUGUCGGGUAAGUUCCGACCCGCACGAAAGGCGUAAUGAUUUGGAUACUGUCUCGGAGAGGGGCUCGGUGAAAUAGACUUGUCUGUGAAGAUGCGGACUACCUGCACCUGGACAGAAAGACCCUAUGAAGCUUCACUGUAACUUGAAAUUGAAAUUGGACUUUAGUCGCGCAGCAUAGGUGGGAGGCGUUGAUGAGGUUCUUGCGGGAACAUUGGAGCUAUCAGUGAGAUACCACUCUUCUAAUGUUAGAUUUCUAACUUUGAACCAUUAUCUGGUCAGAGAACAGUUUCAGGCGGGCAGUUUGACUGGGGCGGUCGCCUCCCAAAUGGUAACGGAGGCGUACAAAGGUUUCCUCUGAACGGAUAGAAAUCGUAUCUAGAGUGUAAAGGCAUAAGGAAGCUUGACUGUGAGACCUACAAGUCGAGCAGGGACGAAAGGCGGUCUUAGUGAUCUGACGGUACUGAGUGGAAAGGCCGUCACUCAACGGAUAAAAGUUACUCUAAGGAUAACAGGCUGAUCUCCCCCAAGAGUUCACAUCGACGGGGAGGUUUGGCACCUCGAUGUCGGCUCAUCGCAUCCUGGGGCGGUAGUACGUCCCAAGGGUUGGGCUGUUCGCCCAUGAAAGCGGUACGCGAGCUGGGUUCAGAACGUCGUGAGACAGUUCGGUCCAUAUCCGGUGUAGGCGUUAGAAUAUUGAGAGGAGCCUUCUCUAGUACGAGAGGACCGAGAAGGACAUACCUCUGGUGUACCAGUUAUCGUGCCAACGGUAAACGCUGGGUAGCUAUGUAUGGAGUGGAUAACCGCUGAAAGCAUCUAAGUGGGAAGCCCACCUCAAGAUGAGUAUUCUCAU